This 478-nucleotide ribosomal RNA is filed under the name uncultured bacterium. RNAcentral's name for it is "partial 16S ribosomal RNA". It matches the Rfam family "Bacterial small subunit ribosomal RNA", at positions 28 to 507 of the family's 1533-position model. The record is from RNAcentral.
GAUGAACGCUGGCGGCGUGCUUAACACAUGCAAGUCGAACGAGAAGUGAAGACGGAAACCUUCGGGCGGAAGGCUUUAUUUCGAGUGGCGGACGGGUGAGUAACGCGUGGGUAACCUGCCUCAUACAGGGGGAUAACAGUUGGAAACGACUGUUAAUACCGCAUAAGACCACAGCACCGCAUGGUGCGGGGGUAAAAACUCCGGUGGUAUGAGAUGGACCCGCGUUCGAUUAGCCAGUUGGCGGGGUAACGGCCCACCAAAGCGACGAUCGAUAGCCGAUCUGAGAGGAUGACCGGCCACAUUGGGACUGAGACACGGCCCAAACUCCUACGGGAGGCAGCAGUGGGGAAUAUUGCACAAUGGGGGAAACCCUGAUGCAGCGACGCCGCGUGAGUGAAGAAGUAUCUCGGUAUGUAAAGCUCUUUCAGCAGGGAAGAAAAUGACGGUACCUGAGUAAGAAGCCCCGGCUAACUACGUG